This 3886-nucleotide long non-coding RNA is filed under the name Chlamydomonas reinhardtii. RNAcentral's name for it is "long non-coding RNA (CREI_LNC000255)". Lineage: Eukaryota; Viridiplantae; Chlorophyta; Chlorophyceae; Chlamydomonadales; Chlamydomonadaceae. The record is from RNAcentral.
UGUAGCAUGACUGUGUCGGUGACGGGGUGACGAGGUGCCAGUAGCUGCGCAUGGGCGCCGGGGGUAAAUCAACCCAGCGAGCCCCAGUCUCGCUGGUUGUGUUGCCAAAGGCUUACGCCACCAGACUGAUUACAUUCUGUGUCAACCAACCCAUACGCGAGCCUACAUGCCUCUGUCCACCUCUCGCUCUCCUCUCUGUCUCCACCAAACGGGAGCCAUCGACAGCCCCGUUAGUCUGCGUCAGUCUGCCUAGGCCCCGCAGCAGCAGCCAGCUCUACGCUGAAUUCUCCACGUAUACGUAUACAACUGGACAUCCCCGCCAGCGGCUAGGCUUGAUCACCCUGGUGCGCAACGGGAAUUCCGGGACUCACUGGCCUUACGGGGACGCCACCUGCUUGGCAUCGUAUCAGGUCUGUGGCAGUCCCGUGCCGUUGCCGUCAUAUGGGAACCACCUGCGCUCCCCUUCUCUCCCCCCACCUUCUCCCCUCACGCCUCCGACCCCUCAAGACUUCUCUUCUUCUUCACCGGCCCGAGCCUCCCUGCCCGGCCGGCCUCUGCAUCUAUUCUUCAGUGGAGCUCUUCCCUUCUCUGCUCUCCGCCACUGAGAGCGUGACUUGCGCAGGAAAGGCCAGCGUUGAUGAGUGAGACAGCGUCUGCCCUCUGGUGCCCGGUCCUUGCAAGCCGAGCCCACCUAUGCGGCGCCGGUGCGUCUCAGCACCCGGCGCCCCUUCCUUCCUGUAUCAUUCUAUCCGCCUAGACCUACGACAACAAGAAACCGAGACCGCGUUACAGCGAGCGACAACAUCUUCAGUGGAGCGAGCGCGUCACACCGUCUGACAACACCGACUGCGUCCGUCCAAGACCCGUCAUCGUCAGCACCCACACCCGCCUCCGUUUCCCCUGUCUAUCCUCUCAGUUAACAGCUCCGUCAAGUUGCAAGUGAUUCACAUGAGGCAGACCACAGGCGCAACGCGCCCAUCACACCGACUGCUAUUUGCGGAACUGGCACAACUACCCCUCCAUUACUUCUUCGCCAAGCAAUGCAUCGGCUUCUACAAUAGGAUAGCUGCCCGAAAAGAUAGCAUAGCGCACGACGCAAUGGUUGACGAAGUGAGAGAGGCUUUGGCUUGCCCGGACGGCGAUGGCUGGUGUGCUAAGUUGUUUCGCUUUGCGCGCGCACAUGGUGUGGACGUUUGGAAAGGGCGCAUGCACAUGAUAAGCCCUGAACGUGAAGCGAGCAGAGCAGGUAGCCCACUGGCGGAGGGGCCACUCAUGAGUGCAUUCCGAGAAAAUAUCAUGAAGGCAUGGCAGCACGAGCGGAUGAACACCGAGCCAGCCACAUUCCCAUCUGACCACAAGCAACCCGGUUUGCACAUGAGCAAGUAUAAGCAUUGGAUGGGCCUGGGCGGAGGAGGAGCUGCACCAUUGAUUAUGCCACCACAUAGCAAGGCGUUUAUCCCAGUGGCACAACACAUGUCGCUGAUGCGUUUCCGCCUGGGCUGCUGGCCACUCACUGCAAACCGCGCGUACGGGCGGCCUAGAGACGAGCGCAUAUGCCCACUUUGUGCUGCAAAUGAGAUAGAGGAUGAGAACCAUGUGCUGUGUCGGUGUACGGCCUACAGUCAGCUGCGCGAGUGUAGCGGUCUUCCAUUCGAGGGCGGUAUACGGACAGUCAUGCAGACCCCAGACCAAGCUAGGUUAGCGGCGCUACUCGACUCCAUCUGGGAGCACAGGAGCAGAAGCAUCCCUCUACGGGGAAAUUGAAGCUGUUUAGUGAGUGUUUUUCUUGGCGUCUUCAAAGGAGAGGAUCGCACGCAAGAUCGUGUCCACCUUGCAACCACACACACACACAACAGCUCCGGGCGUCCUCAUACGACUGGUGCUGGGUGCCUGCGCGUUCGGAAAGACCCGCCCACGACAAGCAGAUUGCCUGCAAAACCCGUCUGGCUGAGCGAAAAAAUUGGACCUGACGGCUUUGUGGGGGCUGUGCGCCGUUUGGACCGACACCCGCUACACUUUUUACCUUGUCCCUUUUUCCUCAUCACACACCGACGGAACAAGCGCUCAACCACUUAUGCAUUAUUAUGUUAUAAAUGUUUAUUGUUCUUUUAUGCGAGUGGGCACCUAUAUGAUCAGCGAACUCGGCCGCGACCGGCAAAACACACACGUCUUGACAUGUUUACCCGUCCAGACACCCCGAAGUCCCCCGCUACCAAACGCGUCAUAACGCUCAGCGGGUGGCCCAUCGCUAUGCUCACCACAAGCGCUCCUCUCGGUGGGAUCCACGGCCGUCACGUGACCCCAGGUUGCGAGCUGCACAGGUGCGCCAGGGGGUGGUCAGCGCCGCUGGCAUCGCUGCGAAGGUGGCUGCAGGCCCCGCCUGGCGCUGCCGUGCGUGGCACUUCGCCCACAGGCCCCAGCGAGGCCGCGGCUGCAAUCCUCGGCCCCGCGGCUGCGGCCCACGGCCCCGCACCUACAGGCGCCGGCGCUGCAGCUGCAGGCUCUCAUGCGACAUGCCCCGGCGCCGCAGCUGCAGACAGCGCCAUCGCCGACCCUCUCCAGAACUCUCCAGAAACCUUCAGAGCCCGCCAGAGCCCGCCAGAGCCCGCCAGAGCCCGCCAGAGCCCGCCAGAGCCCGCCAGAGCCCGCCAGAGCCCGCCAGAGCCCGCCAGAGGCCUAUACAGAUCACUCCAUAGGCUGAGGGGCUCUGAAACAUUUUGUUUCACAAAUGCUAGACCAUCCUAAAAGCAGCAGGAAGACGCUUUUUUUUGUAAAGCCCUGAAAAAAACGCGCAUUUGAAGUUCACUUUUGGUGUUUGGACAUUUCGUGUGAAAUUAGCAUUUUACGGCGGCACCUUUCCUGAUUAGGCACUCACAGGUGUGGACUACAUGCUGUCGCUGCAAAAGGGGCAGCGUGCUAAGAACGCGCGUAUGGUGAGUGGGUUUAAGCGCGUGUGAUUGCUUGAGGGCAAGGGGCUGUUUAGCGCGCGUGUCGUGUGUUAUCGUGUCUGUGGCUUAGUGCAACUGCAUAACCCCCCGGGGGGUAGCCUGCUGCGUGUGCUAUGUGUCAUGCUGCUGGUAACUACUCGUGCCUGGUUCGUAGUCAGGACAAAACCCGCUGUGUGACUAAGGUGGAGCUGAGUGUCAGGGGGGUGUAGCAUGACUGUGUCGGUGACGGGGUGACGAGGUGCCAGUAGCUGCGCAUGGGCGCCGGGGGUAAAUCAACCCAGCGAGCCCCAGUCUCGCUGGUUGUGUUGCCAAAGGCUUACGCCACCAGACUGAUUACAUUCUGUGUCAACCAACCCAUACGCGAGCCUACAUGCCUCUGUCCACCUCUCGCUCUCCUCUCUGUCUCCACCAAACGGGAGCCAUCGACAGCCCCGUUAGUCUGCGUCAGUCUGCCUAGGCCCCGCAGCAGCAGCCAGCUCUACGCUGAAUUCUCCACGUAUACGUAUACAACUGGACAUCCCCGCCAGCGGCUAGGCUUGAUCACCCUGGUGCGCAACGGGAAUUCCGGGACUCACUGGCCUUACGGGGACGCCACCUGCUUGGCAUCGUAUCAGGUCUGUGGCAGUCCCGUGCCGUUGCCGUCAUAUGGCAUGUCAAGCGAAAGAGGUUACAUGUGGGACGACAGCCAUGGACGUGCCAGGCCUCCAAAAACGCACGAGACACGUACGCUCACCCGAGGAGGAUGACCCCUAAUGACCCCCAUGCUCCUCGCCUCUGGAGAGGACCCCGAGCUAGGCUCACUGCAAUCGCACGCGUUGCUAACCUAAGCCGCGGGUCGGAUAAUAAUAAUAAUAAUAGGUACUCCCUGCAUGACAGGGCGUGUUCUGCGGAGGUAGGGGUGUGAGGGCGUGAGAGACCACCGCAUAGAUGGUCUCCGC